CCUACGAGAGGCAGCAGUGAGGAAUAUUGGUCAAUGGACGCAAGUCUGAACCAGCCAUGCCGCGUGCAGGAAGACGGCUCUAUGAGUUGUAAACUUCUUUUGUACGAGGGUAAACGCAGAUACACGUAUCUGUCUGAAAGUAUCGUACGAAUAAGGAUCGGCUAACUCCGUGCCAGCAGCCGCGGUAAGACGGAGGAUUCAAGCGUUAUCCGGAUUUAUUGGGUUUAAAGGGUGCGUAGGCGGUCGGAUAAGUUAGAGGUGAAAUCCCGAGGCUCAACUUCGGAAUUGCCUCUGAUACUGUUCGGCUAGAGAGUAGUUGCGGUAGGCGGAAUGUAUGGUGUAGCGGUGAAAUGCUUAGAGAUCAUACAGAACACCGAUUGCGAAGGCAGCUUACCAAGCUACUUCUGACGUUGAGGCACGAAAGCGUGGGGAGCAAACAGGAUUAGAUACCCGAGUAGUC
RNAcentral lists this ribosomal RNA (460 nucleotides) under uncultured bacterium. RNAcentral's name for it is "partial 16S ribosomal RNA". It matches the Rfam family "Bacterial small subunit ribosomal RNA", at positions 338 to 795 of the family's 1533-position model. The record is from RNAcentral.